This 570-nucleotide ribosomal RNA is filed under the name Cuscuta chinensis var. applanata. RNAcentral's name for it is "eukaryotic LSU rRNA". The stretch from base 170 to 325 matches the Rfam family "5.8S ribosomal RNA". The record is from RNAcentral. Lineage: Eukaryota; Viridiplantae; Streptophyta; Magnoliopsida; Solanales; Convolvulaceae.
UUUCCGUAGGUGAACCUGCGGAAGGAUCAUUGUCGAAACCUUGUGGCAGAAUGACUUGUUAACUUGUAAAACACCGGCGCAGCAGCGCCAAGGAAUUUCGUAAAUGAGAAUGCUACCUCGCAGAGCUCAUCUCCACUGCUUGUGAGGUUGGCGUCUUUUUUAUAAUAAUGACUCUCGGCAAUGGAUAUCUCGGCUCUUGCAUCGAUGAAGAACGUAGCGAAAUGCGAUACUUGGUGUGAAUUGCAGAAUCCCGCGAACCAUCGAAACUUUGAACGCAAGUUGCGCCUUAAGCCAUUAGGUUGAGGGCACGUUUGCUUGGGUGUCAUGCAUAAUGUCUCCCUCCCGUGUGUUGGGUUGGGAGUGGAUCGUGGCCUCCUGGGCCCAUCCUGGGGUGUGGUUGGCCGAAAAUAUUGUCCGUGAGUUUGUGAUGUCUGGCGUGCGGUGGAUGUACAGAGUGUGCAUAAUGGCUUGCCCUGCUCGACUUCAUUGUGGCGUGAGAUCCUUUGAAGCUGUCGGUGUUGGCUCUUUGAUUGCGACCCCAAGUCAGGCGAGACUACCCGCUGAGUUUAA